RNAcentral lists this long non-coding RNA (248 nucleotides) under Vigna radiata. RNAcentral's name for it is "long non-coding RNA (VRAD_LNC013300)". Lineage: Eukaryota; Viridiplantae; Streptophyta; Magnoliopsida; Fabales; Fabaceae. The record is from RNAcentral.
GGAUGAGGGGUGGUGGGCUUGGUGGCUGGAAUGGGUUGGGAAUGAGUGGUGGGCUUGGUGGUUGAAAAGGGUUGGGAAUAAGAGGAGGUGGUUGAAAGGGGUUUGGAAUGAGGGGAGGAGGCUGAAAUGGAUUAGGAAUCAAUGGUGGUGGAAAAAAUGGAUUUGGAGGAAAAAAGAAAUCUUCAGCUAAAUCUUUAUUUGAUUGAGGUUUGUCUGAACUUUUAGUUGGAUUGGAUUUGAACACUGUA